CCUUUUGUCGCCUCACCGCCGUCGGUUUCCCAAGAGGGGAGGAGCACCUUAUGGUGAGCCACUGCACCGGAAGGGAUCGCUGCAGCCCCCCCCCGAGCCUGUGCUUUGUGACUGGCGUGUCGUCGAGGUAAAAUGGCAGAGCAGCUAGGCGCCUCCCUACCCACUGGCAGUGCCGCUGCAGCCGAGGGGUCUGCGACGGCGGCGGCAGCAGCGACAGCGAACUGGUCGUACGUGCCCCUGCCGUCGUCGACCACCUUCGACUACUUCACAGAGCGUUACUACCACCAAUUCAGUAUCCGUGACUGCAAAAAGGUGAAGGGGAACGACUGCCGCAUUCUCCAGCACAGCAACGGGUUGUGCGUGCUCUGCCUCGAUCCUAAUCAUGAACUUGUGCGGCGCUGCGCGCCCGCUGAUGCGGGUGUGACGGUGGCCAAGGUGGCGUUCUUCAAGGGUCGCACCGCUAUCUCGCCGGAGAAUAUCCAAGUUGUAGGCAAGAAAAAAAAGAACGCACUAGUCUGCCAGAAUGACACGAAACUCUGCAGCAUUGUGCUCUCGGACGGGACGGAGUACACAGUCCCCGCCUGCGUGAACGGGUUCGUGCUCGAACUGAACGCAACAUUGCUGGAGCAGCCAUGGAUGGUGGCAGUGGCACCCACUGCCGAGGGUUACUUGGCCAUCAUCAACCCAACCUCCAAGGCAGACUUCAGCGGCUAUGAAAAGAUCUGGACGGCCACCGGCGGUGACGCGGUCGGCGAAGACGAAGAUUGAAUGCAGACACACGUAAAAGUAUACAAGGCCACACUGUCCUCUCGGGCUCAUCGCAUCGAGCGCGGUUUGUAUGGAUAGCUGUUACGUAUCCCCCUCCGUGUCUCUGUGUGGCACAAGGCCUGUGCGAUCGAUUAAAAAGUGCCAGAGAGACUCGGGCAACCAGCAAGGGGGACUUUGUCCUGCGGUGCGGCUGACACCCCACACCAAGCUAGGAGAUGAGUCCCGCAGCUGGGGUUGGAAAGGGAACUUGCAAGGUCGUGGUGGUGACGUGUGGAAAAAAAAAGAAGCAGCAGCCUUCUUGGAUGUCCUCUUGCUGUGUCGGCUCGUUCUCCUGACUCUCUCUAGAUGCAUGGCAGCUGCUCGGAGAAGGGGGAGGGCGCGGACCUCGCACGCACAUCUCAGUCACUCAAAUGGACGCGCACACACACACCAACCUUCCCUCCCCACCCUUGCACGCACUCAACCCUCGCUUCGACUUCUCCACAUCGGACUUUCAUUGCUCGCCUUUUUUUUUCGGUCUCGCCAG
RNAcentral lists this unclassified non-coding RNA (1294 nucleotides) under Leishmania donovani. Its description in RNAcentral is "gene:LdHU3.34.5110(CDS-product:hypothetical_prote in_conserved)". Lineage: Eukaryota; Euglenozoa; Kinetoplastea; Trypanosomatida; Trypanosomatidae. The record is from RNAcentral.